AUUGAACGCUGGCGGCAGGCCUAACACAUGCAAGUCGAGCGGAUGAGUGGAGCUUGCUCCAUGAUUCAGCGGCGGACGGGUGAGUAAUGCCUAGGAAUCUGCCUGGUAGUGGGGGACAACGUUUCGAAAGGAACGCUAAUACCGCAUACGUCCUACGGGAGAAAGUGGGGAUCUUCGGACCUCACGCUAUCAGAUGAGCCUAGGUCGGAUUAGCUAGUUGGUGAGGUAAAGGCUCACCAAGGCGACGAUCCGUAACUGGUCUGAGAGGAUGAUCAGUCACACUGGAACUGAGACACGGUCCAGACUCCUACGGGAGGCAGCAGUGGGGAAUAUUGGACAAUGGGCGAAAGCCUGAUCCAGCCAUGCCGCGUGUGUGAAGAAGGUCUUCGGAUUGUAAAGCACUUUAAGUUGGGAGGAAGGGCAGUAAGUUAAUACCUUGCUGUUUUGACGUUACCAACAGAAUAAGCACCGGCUAACUUCGUG
RNAcentral lists this ribosomal RNA (483 nucleotides) under uncultured bacterium. Its description in RNAcentral is "partial 16S ribosomal RNA". It matches the Rfam family "Bacterial small subunit ribosomal RNA", at positions 30 to 507 of the family's 1533-position model. The record is from RNAcentral.